Molecule: long non-coding RNA, 1933 nt
Organism: Pan troglodytes (chimpanzee)
Lineage: Eukaryota; Metazoa; Chordata; Mammalia; Primates; Hominidae
Source: Ensembl
UUUAAUGUUCUUACGUAUUCUAUUUAAUAUUGUAUUUCUUGUGUCCAAUACAGUUUAUGGCCAUUGUAUACAUAUGCACUAAGUAAAUGUUACUAAACGGCUGGCUGCAUGAGUGACUGCAUGAAUAAAUAACUGUAUGAAUAGCUUGAAGGAGAAAGAGAAAGUCUUCAGGCCCAGCGAAAUGAUGAGAGAGAAAAGAGGGAGAGAAUGAUUCUCAUACCGACGGUUUUAAAUGUGCAAUAACUUUAUGAUUCUUGAGUGAAACUGGCUAUCAAAAUCAGUCCCAACUCAAUACCAUCUGAAAAAGAAGAUCAUUCUUGGAAUAAGAGCCCUUUCGGUCGGAUGUGUCAGAGCCAAUCACAGGCUCCGGGGUCCCGUGGUGACUGCCGGCCGCCACAUACGCAGUGGCAGAAGGAGCAUGUCUCCUCACUCCUGAUAUGCCUGGCCUCAUGCUACCUGCAGCCCCUUUGCCGUCUUUUCCUGCCUUGGCUACUGAAAGCAACGUCUCCUGGCACCACAGAAUAUGCAAGGUGAUUUCUCUGCCUUUUCACUUAUGGCAGAAACGCCUUAUGAUAGCACCUUUUUUAUCGUCAUUCCUGUCUUUUUUUGAUGCAUGUGGUGAGGGAGAACAGUCAAAUAAGAAGCCUUUGGAGAAACUUACAAAGGAGCUGUGUGUCAUGGCAGAGAUGGCUGAUUGCAAUGAUUUAACUGUGAGCCUUUGUAUCCACCCUCAUGCUCUUACUCACUCUCACAUCCUCAUACUUCCACAUCCUGAGCCCCAAAAUGACUUUCUUUCUUUUUUCUCUGGGAACGGAGCCUGGGUCUGGACCAGGGAGUGGCCAGCCACAAAGAGAAUAUUUUGGAGGUGUAUCCGGUCCUCACAGUGGUGUGAAAAUAACAGCAGAUGUCAACAGGAGUUGAAAGGCUGUUGGGGACUUUCAUGGAAGAAAGACUGAGGACGUCUUGGAGGAUUCUUUAACCCCUCACCCAUAAUGAUGGUACAAAAAUUGUCAGAAUCAUGCAGAGAGUUUGACGGGAGCUCUGACAGGUGAACUCAAGGUGGCAGGUGAACUUGAGGAGUGCAUAUUGACUUAGCAAGUAGCCUCAUCGGAGUUUGUUAGAAGCAGAAAAAACAUGGGACUUUCUCAUGGACUACAUGUAGAGUCAUGCAGGAAAUAAUGUUGUGUUGGGUUGUUUUAGACUCAGUACAGAGAAGGCUGGCUUAAGGAAAUCUCAGAAGAUAGAAGCCAAAAAAUGUUCAAGGGCUUUGGAAAGAGCAAGCAACCAGACAGAAUAGAGAUAGAUCAAUGAAAUAGCAAGUAGGAGGAGCAUGUUUCCCAAAGUACUCAUGAAAGCGCCCAUGAGAAAAAGCUUCUCGUAAAUGUCUAGGAAUGUAAAGCAAUAUCCCAAGAAUACCAGUCAAAUAUGAAUUUUCUGGCAUCUCAUAAGUAUCUUUUCUUCUAUUUCUCCAAAUCUAGAGGGAUCACAGACCUCAGGAAACAAGCUGGGGAAAGAAGAACAAAGAAAGAAAGAAAAAGCCCUAGCUCGGAUUGGAGAGAAAAUAAUUUUAAUCAAGUUUGGAAUUGCAAUUAUUACAUGGACUGGAUUUUUAAUAACCUAAGAGUAAUGAGAAAUGUCAUGAGAACACUGAGUUCUCAUCAAGGGCAGGAAAAGAACUUGCCACACUGAAUAUAUUUUUAAAGAGCAGUGAGAGUCAAAAUUAAGAUGCCUCAUGAUCAUAUCCCAGUAAUUCGGUUUGUCCAACCUACCAGUGCCAUUAGUUAUUUGUAUAUUUUAAGCCUUUUUGCCUGAAUUACCCAAAUUAUUGUCUCAAUUCCUCCUCACUUUACCUGUAGAAAUGUAAACUGAAGAUUUUGCUAUUUCAUUGUUUCACUUCUAGGAAUUUUUUUUAAAUAACAGUAUAAUAAGUUGG